This 301-nucleotide ribosomal RNA is filed under the name uncultured bacterium. RNAcentral's name for it is "partial 16S ribosomal RNA". It matches the Rfam family "Bacterial small subunit ribosomal RNA", at positions 509 to 807 of the family's 1533-position model. The record is from RNAcentral.
CAGUCGCCGCGGGAAUACGUAGGGCGCAAGCGUUAUCCGGAAUUAUUGGGCGUAAAGAGCUCGUAGGCGGUUUGUCGCGUCUGCCGUGAAAGUCCGGGGCUCAACCCCGGAUCUGCGGUGGGUACGGGCAGACUAGAGUGAUGUAGGGGAGACUGGAAUCCCUGGUGUAGCGGUGAAAUGCGCAGAUAUCAGGAGGAACACCGAUGGCGAAGGCAGGUCUCUGGGCAUUAACUGACGCUGAGGAGCGAAAGCAUGGGGAGCGAACAGGAUUAGAUACCCCGGUAGUCCCUGUCUCUUAUAC